This 443-nucleotide ribosomal RNA is filed under the name uncultured bacterium. RNAcentral's name for it is "partial 16S ribosomal RNA". It matches the Rfam family "Bacterial small subunit ribosomal RNA", at positions 338 to 795 of the family's 1533-position model. The record is from RNAcentral.
CCUACGGGAGGCAGCAGUGGGGAAUAUUUGGCAAUGGGCGCAAGCCUGACCCAGCAAAGCCGCGUGAAGGAAGAAGGCUUUCGGGUUGUAAACUUCUUUUCUCAGGGACGAAGAAAGUGACGGUACCUGAGGAAUAAGCCACGGCUAACUACGUGCCAGCAUUCGCGGUAAUACGUAGGUGGCAAGCGUUAUCCGGAUUUAUUGGGUGUAAAGGGCGUGUAGGCGGGAGCGCAAGUCAGAUGUGAACACUUCGGGCUCAACCCUGAGCCUGCAUUUGAAACUGGGUUUCUUGAGUGCUGGGGAGGCAAUCGGAAUGCCGGGUGUAGCGGUGAAAUGCGUAGAUAUACGGAGGAACACCAGUGGCGAAGGCGGAUUGCUGGACAGUAACUGACGCUGAGGCGCGAAAGCGUGGGGAGCAAACAGGAUUAGAUACCCGAGUAGUC